RNAcentral lists this long non-coding RNA (220 nucleotides) under Capsicum annuum. RNAcentral describes it as "long non-coding RNA (CANN_LNC000472)". The record is from RNAcentral. Lineage: Eukaryota; Viridiplantae; Streptophyta; Magnoliopsida; Solanales; Solanaceae.
AAAGACCUAAAAGAAAAAUUAAUAUGGAUAGAAAAAACCUUAGAAAAUUUAGAUAAAAGUACAUGUGAUAGUUUAUAUAAUCUAAAAAACUCACUACGAGAAGAACAACACAAGAUAAUAAAUAACAUUGAAAAUCUAGAAUUAGAUAUACAUUAUAGCACAGAUAGGAUAAAUUAUUAUACAAGAAUUUGUAACUCUGCAAUUACAACAGGAUAAAAUA